GUUCCCAUUAAGGCCCACGCGCCAAGAUCAGAAGCACCUAACAUUCCUCGCGGGUCUCUCCCUCGUAUAUUUUACAGCGCCAGAUAAGAAAAAGAGAUGGCGAUGUGGAUCGCAGUCGAUCCAAGAAUAGGGUUUGGGUCCCCAUGGAUUCCUCCUCCGCUCUCUCACAGCCCAAUUUCUACGAUUUUCUCAAUCGGAUGCGUCAUCCCGCCUCCGCCGAUCUCGUCCGUGCCAUCAAGAGCUUCAUUGUGUCCUUCUCAUUUCACGCAACUGAUGCUGACAAUGAUAGUAGAAAGCUGCAAGACUUUCUUGUGACCAUGGAGACUACUAUUAAAGAGCAUCCUUUAUGGGUUCAUGCUUCACAUGAAGAACUAGAUAGUGCAAUUGAGUUGUGCACUGUACAGGGUCUAGAAAAGUAUGUCAUGACAAAGUUGUUCAACCGCACAUUUGCUUCCUCUUCUGAGGAUGUAAAAGCAGAUCUAGAUGUUUCAGAGAAAAUUCGCUUGCUGCAGCACUUUAUUAGGCCUGAUCACUUGGAUGUCCCUAGAGUUCUGCAUAAUGAAGCAUCAUGGCUGUUUGCAGCAAAAGAACUGCAGAAGAUAAAUACUUUUAAUGCUCCCCGUGAGAAGCUUCUCUGCAUUAUGAAUUGUUGUCGAAUCAUAAACAAUUUACUUCUCAAUAUAUCAAUGUCAAGCAAUUAUGUACCAGCAGGGGCUGAUGACUUCCUUCCAGUUCUUAUUUAUGUUACCAUCAAGGCCAAUCCUCCCCAGCUGCAUUCCAACUUGAAAUUUAUCCAGCUCUUUAGAAGGAACUCGAAGCUUGUCUCAGAAGUGGAAUAUUACCUUACCAAUCUCAUCUCAGCAGAAACAUUUAUAACAAAUAUCAAUGCCAGUUCACUGUCCAUGGAAGAAAGUGAGUUUGAGAAGAAUAUGCAACUAGCAAAAUUAGCCAAUGAAGAGACUGCCGCUAGGCAUGGUAGUAUACUACAGUUAUCUGGAGAUGAUGCUCUCACCACGAGAAGGCAUGGCAAGGAGAUCCAUGUCAAUCUUGAAGGGCAACCUAGGUAUAUCAUGGUCAAGAAAUAGUUCCACAAUGCUGAUUCUGAGUGCCCCUUAGCAAUAAACAAUCCAAAAUUGAUAGCAGACCAACUGAUGUUUUCGUAAGGGAUUGCAGGCUGCGAAUAUCCUUUCAUGGAAUCAGAGGCAAAAGACCUGACAGUAGAGGAUGUUCAACAGCUGCUAAGGCUGUAUCAACAUGUGGUGACAAGGUAUACAAGGCUAACAAAGGCUCUGGCACGACUCUCGCUACAUGAAGAACGGCUCUUGCAUACCAUGAAAGACCCGGCAAGCAGCACUGAAUUAAAAAAAGAGAUUGAAAAAUGGCUCCAUAAAGGCAUACUAGAUUAGUAUGCCUGAUGCGUAUGAGCUGUUCAUGCUAUGCAGGUGCAAAGUAAACAUUUUGCAGGAAGGAUGAGCUUCUGCAUCAAAGAGAAACAAAAAGUUUCUACCAUGGCCAUAAAAAUUAUUACAAGGAGGCCAAAAGCUGAGACUGUCAUCAGCUCUCAUGCUAAGCUACUCUAUGUACAUGCAGACUAACACUUUACAACAACAAAAAUAUUAUCACCCUACGGUUGUCAGGCUACCAAA
Molecule: non-coding RNA, 1646 nt
Organism: Elaeis guineensis (African oil palm)
Lineage: Eukaryota; Viridiplantae; Streptophyta; Magnoliopsida; Arecales; Arecaceae
Source: RefSeq, a predicted model, not a curated record